This 1868-nucleotide ribosomal RNA is filed under the name uncultured bacterium. RNAcentral's name for it is "bacterial LSU rRNA". It matches the Rfam family "Bacterial large subunit ribosomal RNA", at positions 189 to 1973 of the family's 2925-position model. The record is from RNAcentral.
GGAAGUGAACCAUCUCAGUACCCCCAGGAAGAGAAAGCAAAUGCGAUUCCCCCAGUAGCGGCGAGCGAAAAGGGAACAGCCCAAACCAAUGACGUGUGAUAGCCCGUAAGCGUUGCGUCAUUGGGGUAGCGGGGACGGCCUGGUUCUGUUACGGCAGAGCCAAGGAGUUACAAAUCUGACGGUUAGCCAAACGAUCUGGAAAGGUCGGCGAUACAGGGUAACAGCCCCGUAGGCGAAAACUGAUCAGACUCCUGGCCGUUUCCCAAGUACCACGGGACACGUGGAACCCUGUGGGAAUCUGGGAGGACCAUCUCCUAAGGCUAAAUACUCUCCUGCGACCGAUAGUGAACCAGUACCGUGAGGGAAAGGUGAAAAGAACCCCUUUUAGGGGAGUGAAAUAGCACCUGAAACCGUAUGCCUACAAGCAGUGGAAGGGCUAUGCCCGCAAGGGAAUGCCCGACCGCGUGCCUUUUGCAUAAUGAGCCGGCUAGUUAAUCUCAGCAGCAAGGUUAAGCGUUAAGCGAGCCGAAGCGAAAGCGAGUCCGAAUAGGGCGUUCAGUUGCUGGGAUUAGACGCGAAGCUAGGUGAUCUACGCCUGGCCAGGGUGAAACGCACGUAACAGUGCGUGGAGGCCCGAACCAGUGUUGGUUGAAAACAGCUUGGAUGAGCUGGGCGUAGGGGUGAAAGGCUAAUCAAACCUAGUUAUUGCUCGUUCUCCCCGAAAUAGCUUUAGGGCUAGCCCCGCAUGAUCGUUAACGGUGGUAGAGACCUGGAUGAACUAGGGGCCUUACCGGGUUACUGAAUCCAACCAAACUCCGAAUGCCGUUAACCACCAGUGCGGGAGUCAGACGGCGGGGGAUAAGCUUCGUCGUCAAAAGGGAAACAGCCCAGACCGUCAGCUAAGGUCCCGAAGUACAGGCUAAGUGGUAAAGGAUGUGGAAUUGCCCUGACAGCCAGGAGGUUGGCUUAGAAGCAGCCAUCCUUUAAAGAAAGCGUAACAGCUCACUGGUCGAGCGGUUCCGUGCCGAUAAUUCACCGGGGCUCAAGCCUGUCACCGAAGCUGCGGAUCCAUGGACUCGGUCCAUGGGUGGUAGGGGAGCAUUCCAUGGCAGAUACAAGCCAGACUGCGAAGACUGGUCCAGGGUCAUGGAAGAGACCCUGCCGGCACAAGUAGCGAUAAGCAAGGUGAGAACCCUUGCCGCCGAAAGUCUAAGGUUUCCUGAGCAAGGUCAAUCCGCUCAGGGUAAGUCGGGACCUAAGCCGAGGCCGAAAGGCGUAGGCGAAGGGCAGUCAGGUUAAUAUUCCUGCACCGCCUGGAGCGCGUUUUAAGCAAUGGGGUAACGCGGAAGGAUACGCAUACCGACGAUUGGAAGCGUCGGGUGGCUGCUAUAGGGGGAUCUCCCAGGUAAAUCCGGGGGGUCAUCAACUCCGAGGGCAGUCAGGGAAGCUGGCUUCGGCCGGCCCAACUUGUUGAUUCCAUGCCGCCAAGAAAAACCUCUAGCUAGUGCUUCGGGAGCCCGCACCGCAAACCGACACAGGUAGACAGGGAGAAUAUCCCAAGGCGCUUGAGAGAACUCUCGUUAAGGAACUCGGCAAACUAGCCCCGUAACUUCGGGAGAAGGGGUGCCCCGGUAGGGUGAAGGACCUUGCGUCCGGAGCCCGAGGGGGUCGCAGUGAAUGGGGCCAGGCGACUGUUUACUAAAAACACAGGUCUCUGCAAAGUCACAAAAACGACGUAUAGGGACUGACGCCUGCCCGGUGCCGGAAGGUUAAAAGGAGGGGCCAUCCGCAAGGAGAAGCCCUGAAUUGAAGCCCCGGUAAACGGCGGCCGUAACUAUAACGGUCCUAAGGUAGCGAAAUUCCUUGUC